AAUAAUGCCAUCGACCACAGCCAGAUAGAACUGAAGAAUUGCCUUGAAAGAAAAGGCAGCUGCAAUGUAUUGGAUAUUCAGCUAAUAUUUCCCAAAUUAGCUAAAGACAGAUACUAUUUGAAAUCAUGGGCUGAGCGCGGUGGCUCACGCCCAUAAUCCCAGCACUUUGGGAGGCUGAGGCAGACGGAUCACCUGAGGUUGCGAGUUUGAGACCAGCCUGACCAACAUAGAGAAACCCUGUCACUACUAAAAGUACAAAAUCAGCCGGCAGUGGUGGCACAUGCCUGUAAUCCCAGCUAGUCAGGAGUCUGAGGCAGGAGAAUCGCUUGAACCGGGGAGGAGGAUGUUGCGGUGAACAGAGAUCACGCCCUUGCACUCCAGCCUGGGCAACAAGAGUGAAACUCCGUCUCAAACAACAACAACAGCGAAAGAAAUCGUGAUACAUGAUAAAACAUUUAUAACAUCUCACUGGUUGAAGUCAAUUUUUUAAAAAUGUAAAUAUACACUUUGACUAACUUUGGAUAUGGAUUAUUUUAAUUUGACUGAUAAAAUGAAGCCUUAAGCUACAAGACAAAUUCUUUUUACACAAGUUUUUUGGAAAGUAAUGACUGAGAAAAAUACACGGUUUACCAAUGAUCUUAUGAAGUUUUAGAACAGUGCUACUCUUUCAAGAUAUUUGGUAUUUACUGAAGGAGUAGCUUCUCAUAAGUACAUAUUUCUGAUGACCAAUUAUCUUUGUUAGCCCAUAUAUUAAUUCGUGUAUUUAUAGUUAACAAUAUCAAACAAUAUUUUCAAGCAAUCUCCUAUGUCUCAUACUUUUAAAUUCAUAUUGUAGCAAGUUAAAAACAUAAUGUAUACUUCCGUUGUUAAUUAAAA
This 876-nucleotide long non-coding RNA is filed under the name Homo sapiens (human). RNAcentral describes it as "HSALNT0085357". The record is from RNAcentral. Lineage: Eukaryota; Metazoa; Chordata; Mammalia; Primates; Hominidae.